AUUGAACGCUGGCGGCAUGCCUUACACAUGCAAGUCGAACGGUAACGGGCCUUCGGGUGCCGACGAGUGGCGAACGGGUGAGUAAUGCAUCGGAACGUACCUUUCAGUGGGGGAUAACGUAGCGAAAGUUACGCUAAUACCGCAUAUUCUGUGAGCAGGAAAGCAGGGGAUCGCAAGACCUUGCGCUGAUUGAGCGGCCGAUGUCAGAUUAGCUAGUUGGUGAGGUAAAGGCUCACCAAGGCGACGAUCUGUAGCGGGUCUGAGAGGAUGAUCCGCCACACUGGAACUGAGACACGGCCCAGACUCCUACGGGAGGCAGCAGUGGGGAAUUUUGGACAAUGGGCGAAAGCCUGAUCCAGCCAUGCCGC
Molecule: ribosomal RNA, 368 nt
Filed under: uncultured bacterium
Lineage: Bacteria
Description: bacterial SSU rRNA
Rfam family: Bacterial small subunit ribosomal RNA
Source: RNAcentral